This 466-nucleotide ribosomal RNA is filed under the name uncultured bacterium. RNAcentral describes it as "bacterial SSU rRNA". It matches the Rfam family "Bacterial small subunit ribosomal RNA", at positions 28 to 507 of the family's 1533-position model. The record is from RNAcentral.
GAUGAACGCUGGCGGCGUGCUUAACACAUGCAAGCGAACGGGCUCAUAUUGAAACCUAGUGAUGUAUGAGUUAGUGGCGGACGGGUGAGUAACGCGUGGAGAACCUGCCGUAUACUGGGGGAUAACACUUAGAAAUAGGUGCUAAUACCGCAUAAGCGCACAGCUUCGCAUGAAGCAGUGUGAAAAACUCCGGUGGUAUACGAUGGAUCCGCGUCUGAUUAGCUGGUUGGCGGGGUAACAGCCCACCAAGGCGACGAUCAGUAGCCGGCCUGAGAGGGCGAACGGCCACAUUGGGACUGAGACACGGCCCAAACUCCUACGGGAGGCAGCAGUGGGAAUAUUGCACAAUGGGGGAAACCCUGAUGCAGCGACGCCGCGUGAGUGAAGAAGUAUUUCGGUAUGUAAAGCUCUAUCAGCAGGGAAGAAAAUGACGGUACCUGACUAAGAAGCCCCGGCUAACUACGUG